RNAcentral lists this unclassified non-coding RNA (420 nucleotides) under Hevea brasiliensis (rubber tree). Lineage: Eukaryota; Viridiplantae; Streptophyta; Magnoliopsida; Malpighiales; Euphorbiaceae. The record is from RNAcentral.
ACCAUCUCCUCAAAAUUACCAUUUUGAACACCGAGCAGGAGUCGUUUCUGUUACCUUUCUAUUUCUCACUGCUUAUGCCGAUCGCUUCAAUCUCUCUCUUCCUCCACCGAACCCCCGCGGUCAGCAGCCUCGUCCGCCACAUCACCACCUUUCGCCACCUCUCCAUAGCCGUAGCCAAGCAACAUCAACAACAAAAGAACCCCAACAAUGUCUCUGGAAAACCCCAACUGGACAAGAAUCUCCUCGGAGCCAAGCAUACCUUCAUCGAAUAUUCCUCCCUGGCGCCAAUACUCUCUCUGGAGGACCAAGCUGACCUCUCCGAUUCCCAAGCUAUCGGCACUGUCGCUGCCGCCCAAGCCAACUUCAUGCGCGUUAUCGUCCAAUCACUCCCUUCCUACUCAGAGCUUUCUAGCACCUUCC